Molecule: unclassified non-coding RNA, 443 nt
Filed under: Hevea brasiliensis (rubber tree)
Lineage: Eukaryota; Viridiplantae; Streptophyta; Magnoliopsida; Malpighiales; Euphorbiaceae
Source: RNAcentral
GACCUUAUGAAGCUGUUGGACCACUUCCUGCUGGUCAGUCUCACCAGAAAUCUGGAACCACUCAUCAAAAGUCUCAGCUGAGCUAAAGAUCUCAGGUAGCAGAAAGUUCAGCAGUGCCCAGAGUUCAUGAAGAUUAUUCUGAAGCGGUGUCCCCGUGAUAAGCAAUCUAUAAUUAGUGUUGUAGAGCCUCAUUGUUUUUGAAAGAAGUGAAUUUUCAUUCUUGAUCCUAUGUGCCUCAUCAAUUAUGAUGUAACGCCAACUAAAGCGUCGUAGAGCAGACUUCUCUUUGAUAACCAUCUCAAAGCUUGUGACACAUACAUCAAACUUCCCUGCAACAAGUAGUUCCUCGCGUAUGUAUCUCCUUUCAUCAGGAUUUCCAAGGAACUUAACAGCACGUAAAACAGGACAGAAACGUUUGAUUUCGUUCAUCCAAUUGCCAAGCG